This 441-nucleotide ribosomal RNA is filed under the name uncultured bacterium. RNAcentral describes it as "SSU rRNA". It matches the Rfam family "Bacterial small subunit ribosomal RNA", at positions 26 to 518 of the family's 1533-position model. The record is from RNAcentral.
AGAACGAACGCUGGCGGCAGGCUUAACACAUGCAAGUCGAGCGCCUCGCAAGAGGAGCGGCAGACGGGUGAGUAACGCGUGGGAAUCUACCCAUCCUUACGGAACAACUCCGGGAAACUGGAGCUAAUACCGUAUACGCCCUUCGGGGAAAGAUUUAUCGAGGAUGGAUGAGCCCGCGUUGGAUUAGCUAGUUGGUGGGGUAAAGGCCUACCAAGGCGACGAUCCAUAGCUGGUCUGAGAGGAUGAUCAGCCACAUUGGGACUGAGACACGGCCCAAACUCCUACGGGAGGCAGCAGUGGGGAAUAUGGACAAUGGGCGCAAGCCUGAUCCAGCCAUGCCGCGUGAGUGAUGAAGGCCCUAGGGUUGUAAAGCUCUUUCACCGGAGAAGAUAAUGACGGUAUCCGGAGAAGAAGCCCCGGCUAACUCGUGCCAGCAGCCGC